RNAcentral lists this ribosomal RNA (253 nucleotides) under uncultured bacterium. RNAcentral describes it as "partial 16S ribosomal RNA". It matches the Rfam family "Bacterial small subunit ribosomal RNA", at positions 524 to 776 of the family's 1533-position model. The record is from RNAcentral.
UACGAAGGGGGCUAGCGUUGUUCGGAUUUACUGGGCGUAAAGCGCACGUAGGCGGAUCGUUAAGUCAGGGGUGAAAUCCUGGAGCUCAACUCCAGAACUGCCUUUGAUACUGGCGAUCUUGAGUCCGGAAGAGGUGAGUGGAAUUCCGAGUGUAGAGGUGAAAUUCGUAGAUAUUCGGAAGAACACCAGUGGCGAAGGCGACUCACUGGACACGUAUUGACGCUGAGGUGCGAAAGCGUGGGGAGCAAACAGG